RNAcentral lists this long non-coding RNA (2204 nucleotides) under Citrus sinensis (sweet orange). RNAcentral describes it as "long non-coding RNA (CSIN_LNC003588)". The record is from RNAcentral. Lineage: Eukaryota; Viridiplantae; Streptophyta; Magnoliopsida; Sapindales; Rutaceae.
UUCAUCUUCCUUUAUUAGUAACAAACCACCACCGCAAAUAUCAUUUUAUCUCCACAUCAAUUAUUUACAAACUCUUUCAACAAAAAUCAAGAGACUCCAUAAGGCAUUAAUUUUGACCAUUUAUCAACAAAUGGAGACUGCAACAUUAAUGGCACACGCAAGAGCAACAACUUUGUUUCCGCACUUUCUUGCUUGUCAUGAGGGUCACUGCCAGCCGUAGCAAUCCAUUCCUUUCGCUUAUCCACAUCUUUGUAUGAAUAUAAAUGUCAAAGUGUGUUGCAAUUGGGGAGUCGUAGUUCUAAAAGCAGGGUAAUGUAUGUAUCACCACAAAACCAAGAUGGACAAGUUCAUGAAACACAAAAAAAAAAAAAAAAAAAAACUGGCCAAAUAAGAUUAAGAAUGAACAUUUCCAACAUCAUCCUUCCCCAAGUCAACAAGCAUAAUAUGCUCUACACAUUGCUUUUUAUCAUUCAAAAUUUUCUUUUCAAACACUAGAUUGUCAUUAGUAGUCUUGCCUUUUCUAACAGUGCUAAGGGGUUGAUUAAUAAUCUUUCUCUGUAAAUAAUGAUAAAAGGUGAACAUCUGCAAUCAUCACAACAAUACAAACAAAAAUUCUGAUAGUAGAAAAUAAUUAAUGCAUAGAGUGGGAAACAAAUCUUAUAUAGUCAUUAUGUAUCCCUAAAAUCAAAACUUAAGGAGAAAGAGAAAAAAAAUGUGAAAUUAAUCAUCCCAAAAUUCCUUCAAGUAUUACUAACCUUCUUCAUACUAGUAAGACUUUUUGGACUAAAAGCCACUAGUAAACUCGAUUUAACAUGAUUAGAGAAAUAAAUAAAUAAAUAAAAAGCUUGGAAACUAAAUAUUAUUUCUUGACAAACAAAUAGUGUUAGGGAAAAGCAAACAAACUUGUAACUAAGUCAUGUAUGGACUUGAAUUAACAUCUCAAUGUUUUCUAAAUUUCAAAUGAAGUCUGCAAGAGUUUGCCUUUAAUAAGGUUGACUUAAUAUGAUGUGGAAAAUGUGAGCAGGAAGGACAUAUUGCUUGGUAUGCAAUGCAACCUCCUUGUAUGCUUCACUUGUCAUGCUUGACCUCUCCAAUUUCGGACUAAAAUGUUGUGUGUAACUUUAUUGAACCUAACCAGAGCUGUGGUUUGAAAUUGCAUUAAAAAUAAAAUGUCAAAAAGUUAACUAGAAGAAACAACAAUGAAGAAAAUGAUAUUAAAAAAUAUAAAUUGAACGACAACAAUUUGCAGAAUUUUUAAUGGAACUAUCCAUGCUUCCAUUUAUACAAAACCAACAAGUUAUCACUAAUCAUAGGUUAAUAUAAUUUCUCCAUCACAAAUUUAUCUGGUUUUUCCACAUAUAACCAUUACUUUAUAAUUUCAGUGCAUGCCCCAAUAAAGCCAUGUAAUCCACUUCAUUGUUGAAACUUUUUUCCUUGAAUUAAAACAGACAUGCAACUAAAAUAGCUCAUGUGCACCCUAAACCCAUGGAUCCAAAGAAUACAGCAAACCAUUUAAUUUUUCGCAACCCAAGUCAUGUAAAUAACACGAUAAAAACCCAAAAAAAAUUUCAAAAACCCCUUUAACAGAAUACUACCUAUAUACACUUCAAACUAUCUUCAACAUACAUUUUUAUAUUUAAUUUUACUAUAACUAUCAUGAAUCUAUUGAAAAUAAUCAUAAGAAACGAAUAAAAAUCUAAAAAAUUUUCAAGAACUAUUUUUCAAUCAAUCAUAAAGGCAGCAGAGAUAUUUAGUUCUAUGUUCAACGUGCUUUUGCAAUACUCAUUUACCUACAACUAACACUAAAUGAUGGACAAAAUCAAAAGCAACAGCAACAAUCUUAAAAACAUUUCAAUAUCCAUUUGCUAAUUUUUCACCGAGACUACCAAUUUCAACUAAUAAAACUAGCAUGCAUUGAAAGAAUUAAUACCUUAUUCGUGGCUUAAAACAAUGGGAUGAUUGGCUAGUUGUCGGAAAAAACUCAUUCGCGGUCGUGAAUCAUUCGUAGCCGAUAUUAGAGUUGGCUUCAUCGUCAUGGUCUUUAAUUUAUGGCCGAAGUAAUUGAUCAAAGCAUUAGAGAGAAAAUGAAACGAGUUUUGCUUGGUUGCUUUGGAUUUGUGGAGUAGAAAGAUGAGAACUUUUUAUUUUGUUAAUGUCUGUUAGAUAAAAGCGCGCUUCAAUUUAUUCUCCACUGGAUAUUAACA